Molecule: long non-coding RNA, 2946 nt
Organism: Amphiprion ocellaris (clown anemonefish)
Lineage: Eukaryota; Metazoa; Chordata; Actinopteri; Pomacentridae
Source: Ensembl
CUAUCUUUUGUCACGUGUUUAUAUCGUUUCCAGCCAAAAAAAACUUACUGGUUAAAAACAAAUCUAUAUAGGGUUGAUAUUGUAUGUCACUUUAAUAAUUUGACAUGUUUUAAAAGGAGAUUGCACCAAAAAAUACUAAGAAAUGAAUGAAGCACCUGCAAUAAUUCGACACGGCAGCUGAUGUCAGUACGGUAUAUAGAGAAUGACCCAAACCUGGUAUUGAAUUCCCUUCAGUGGAGCAGCAAUAAAUCAGCUGUACUGUGUGAAGGGAACUCAGUGCUUUUCUUUGUUUUCAUCCUGAGUGCCAGCAGCCACAACUAAAAUGCUUUAAAGCUAUGGCGUAACCCUUAAAAAUGCUUUCCCCCCCAUUUAAACCGUGUUUUCUCAGGAUUACAGCAUUUAAAAGAAUGUUUCCUUCUGAUUAACUAAAUAAUUCCCAAACCAAAGGGAUUUGUUUAAAGGUUUUAGAGUGUAAUAAUCCAGAUAAUAGUAAUUUAAAUUUGUUUUCACACUAGGCCUAAUUUACUUAGUCUAAUAUAUUCCAAAAGGAAAUGCAGUUGUACUCAUAGCGCAUUUAAAGAGAGAGCUUUAUUUGUGUUUGUUGACAAUUUGUGUGUCUCUUUCCAGAAUACUCUUCGGCAACAGAAAGCAGCAGUGUUUUGGACAGGCAGUGAAGGGUGAACUCCAUCAGGGACGCUUUGUGAUGACUUGACAACAAUGAAACUCCUGUGUGAUUUUGGCAGUGUGCUCUGGAUCGUUAUCAUCCUGGAAUAUUCCUCCUUUGCCAAGCUUCUGCAGACUGGUAGUACCAGUAUUUUGGUAUAUCCACGGACAUUCAUGUUGCCAUCUAAAAAUGUCAUCUCCCCAACAUAGCUCGCACUCAUGUGGCCCCAUGUCAUCACAUGCCCACCUUUGUGCUUCACUGUCAGGACUAUGCAUUCACUGUGGCUGUCCAGACCAGAUUCAGGACAAAUAUUCUGGACCCCAUCAGAGCAGAACAACUUUACACUGACCUAGCUGUUAUUAAAAACCCUGUGGCAAGUCUGAUACAUUUGCCCUUCUGUUUUUCUCAGCUAAACUGAAAGUUCCCCACUGCCCAUGGCAUCAUUUUAGGCUUUCAGCCGUUGCAGCUCUGAUUAGUGGCACUAUGGUUCAUUCUAUACCUUCUGACUACUCCUGCAACUUUGUUUCGAUGGAUUUUUUUAGUUGGUCACUAAUCUUCCUGUAUCCUUUUCCAUCUUUGUGAAGUCUCAUGGUCCUUUGGCAAUUCUUGUGGAGCCACGAUGCAGACAUGCGAAUAUACACAGCCUUAAAAGUCCAAAACCGAGAUAGUUCUGGUGUUCACAGGUCAGGCUAAUUGGAACUCACUGUUGAACUUGCGUUUGUUUCAGUUUUCUAACUUCUGUUUCAGUAAUUACAAUUGUAAUUACUUCUGUUGCUUUCAGUUUCUACUUUUGGGGAUCUCUUUUCCUUAUAACCUUCCUGAAGAAUCAGUUUUUGUACUGUUCAAAAGAGGAACUAAUUGCCGAAUUCGAAGUAAGGCAAAUACUGAGGUGAUGCCACAGUGAAUUAUUUGACAUUGAAGUGAUGCUGUACAGAUGUGUACUUGCUGCUGUUGUAUAUUGUAGACUAUUCCCCAAGCAGAUGUUUUGAGUUGUCAUGAUGGACAACGCACAGGCGUAACUCAUAAUAUCACUUAUGUCUCUACUCUGUUCAUAUGUCCUUGUAAACCAUAAAAAAUGUCCAGCAUGCAGCAUUAUUUUUUAAUGUUUUCACAGUAGGCAUUUCAGCAUGUCACAGCAGGGAAAACACAUAUGUAAUUAAUAACAUGUCAUGAAUCAGUGCAUUCCUUUUACAUGAGCUUCUUCCAUGGCCUUGAUAUUUCACAUGCUGGUUCUCUGACAUCGCUCACUGGGGGAGUUAAUGGAACUGAUCCAUCCUUAACUGAAUUAGUUACACCUGUGCUUUCUCUGCUAUUACAAGUCAAAACGUCUACUGUGAGGAAGGUCUGUAUCCGACCUGAGUGGAAUACAGUAAUUAUUAACAUGUGUUAAUUUAGUUAUCGGUCAGAAAUCCAUCAAGACUGAUCCACCAGUGAGAAUCUACUUGAAGACCUUGCACCACAUUCAGUUUUUGCAUUACUCUCUGUAAUAGAAAAUACCUUUCACUCAAUGUCUGACUCAAUUAAUUUCAGAAGUGUGUCUAGAAAUAUGUCUAGUGUUACCAAACUGAUUGAAAAAUGUCUUCGGUCUAGAUUUAGUGAGCAGCUUUUUUUUCCCAAGUUGCCUUGUAAUUCAGAGGAAAACCGCAAUCCUCAUGCUGAUAUAAUGACAUGAAAUUGUGGCAGCAUUUGAGUUUCAAGUGUAUGUACAAUAUCAGUGACAUGCAAAGCCAGUAUAACUUUCUUAAAGCUUUCCAAGACGAAUUUGCACUUUUUAAAUCAAGAUUUUUCAUGUGCCGAACUAUCCAGCCCAUAACUUUUAUAUAGAUACAUCUAACUUUAAACCUGUAAUUGAUAAGUGGGAUCGCUCCUGCAAACCACAAGCUUUUGAAAUCCUUUGAAGGUAAAUAUUACACAAUAGUUUCAUUCUGUCACUGUGUCUAUUGUCUUUUUCAGCAGCAGAUAGUUAAUCUGCCUGAAGCAGCCUGUCUGUAGCAGCCCAUAUUAAUGUUAUUGAUCAUUGUCAACUUUUGUGUUUCUUCCAGCCUCAGAUCACACUGUAGUGGGUUGUUUCUUGGCUUUUACUUUCCAGUAAAGGUUUCUUUUUUCAUUAGUCCCUUUCUCUGUUCUUCUCCCCAAUAACCUGUCUCCUUUAUUGCACACAGUCCUUAGAAAGUGACAACUUGGGAAACUGAAUCAAAGUUUCAAUAAAGCCUGAAGUGCUGCAGGCUUUGACAAGUAAGGUGGCUGGAGUGAAGCAGUACAGAAAGAGACUGAAGGAGGAC